GAUGAACGCUGGCGGCGUGCUUAACACAUGCAAGUCGAACGGAAAGGCUCCUGCUUGCAGGGGUACUCGAGUGGCGAACGGGUGAGUAACACGUGGGUGAUCUGCCCUGCACUUCGGGAUAAGCCUGGGAAACUGGGUCUAAUACCGGAUAGGACGAUGGUUUGGAUGCCAUUGUGGAAAGUUUUUUCGGUGUGGGACGAGCUCGCGGCCUAUCAGCUUGUUGGUGGGGUAAUGGCCUACCAAGGCGUCGACGGGUAGCCGGCCUGAGAGGGUGUACGGCCACAUUGGGACUGAGAUACGGCCCAGACUCCUACGGGAGGCAGCAGUGGGGAAUAUUGCACAAUGGGCGCAAGCCUGAUGCAGCGACGCCGCGUGGGGGAUGACGGCCUUCGGGUUGUAAACUCCUUUCGCUAGGGACGAAGCGCAAGUGACGGUACCUGGAGAAGAAGCACCGGCUAACUACGUG
Molecule: ribosomal RNA, 466 nt
Filed under: uncultured bacterium
Lineage: Bacteria
Description: partial 16S ribosomal RNA
Rfam family: Bacterial small subunit ribosomal RNA
Source: RNAcentral